RNAcentral lists this unclassified non-coding RNA (216 nucleotides) under Hevea brasiliensis (rubber tree). The record is from RNAcentral. Lineage: Eukaryota; Viridiplantae; Streptophyta; Magnoliopsida; Malpighiales; Euphorbiaceae.
AUGAUUAUCCUUGGCCAGAUGAUAUGGAUCCAAACAUUAAAAGUGGGCAUUUGACUUAUCUGUCUUACUUCAAGCCUCUGACCGAGAAACCAAAACCAGUCACACUUCCAUUUGAGAAGCCUCUGGUUGAUUUAGAGAAAAAGAUUAUUGAGAUUCGUAAUUUGGCUGAUGAAACCGGUUUAGAUUUCAGUGAUCAAAUUGGUACACUCGAGAACA